GACGAACGCUGGCGGCGUGCUUAACACAUGCAAGUCGAGCGGUAAGGCCCUUUCGGGGGUACACGAGCGGCGAACGGGUGAGUAACACGUGGGUGACCUGCCCUCAGCUCUGGGAUAAGCCUGGGAAACCGGGUCUAAUACCGGAUAUGACUCCAUGACGCAUGUUGUGGGGUGGAAAGCCUUGUGCGGCUGAGGAUGGGCCCGCGGCCUAUCAGCUUGUUGGUGGGGUGAUGGCCUACCAAGGCGACGACGGGUAGCCGGCCUGAGAGGGCGACCGGCCACACUGGGACUGAGACACGGCCCAGACUCCUACGGGAGGCAGCAGUGGGGAAUCUUGCGCAAGUGGGCGAAAGCCUGACGCAGCGACGCCGCGUGAGGA
Molecule: ribosomal RNA, 379 nt
Filed under: uncultured bacterium
Lineage: Bacteria
Description: bacterial SSU rRNA
Rfam family: Bacterial small subunit ribosomal RNA
Source: RNAcentral